CAUAGGACCAUUUGCAAAUGGACGUGGGGGAACAGGAGCACCAACCGCACCAUUGGCUUGAGGAACACCGGGAAGUGUCGGGGGUCCACUUGCAAACAUGGUGUGAGGCCUGUUUUUCUGGGUACCUGGAUUACUCGAAGCUAAAACCCUCUCAGCAGGGGUUCCAUGACGUUCUCCCUUUGUAUCUUUCUUGUAGGCAUAGGACACCGUGAUUUGGCGAUUGCAAAGAUAUUGACCAUUCAUAGCCUCAAUUGCUGCAUCAGAGGCAUCAAAUGAAUCAUAACUAAUAAAACCAAAACCCCGGGAAUUCCCUGUCUCGGGGUCUCGCAUAAUCUUUGGAUUUGAGACAACAACUCCAAAAGCACUAAAAGUGUCGUAGAGAAGCUUCUCAUCUACAUCAGGAUCAAGGUUCCCAACAAACAAGUUGGCACCAACAUCAACACUCUUUUUAUCUUGUGAUGCCUUAUUUACACGUAUUGGUUUUCCAUAAAGUUUUAUCAUAUUCAGUACCUUUAUUGCAUAGUCAGCAUCUUCUUCACUUCGGAAUUCCACAAAACCGUAACCCUGAUGAGCAUUCGUAACUCUGUCCUUGGGGACAUAAACAUUUACUACUGGACCUGCUUGAACAAACAGCUCCCAUAACAACUCUUCAGAAAUCUGAGGGUCGAGAUUACCGACAUAGGCGGUGGCGUCUUGGUUACGCUCCGCCGCGUGUUGGCCGAGAAGGUUUGCUCCGACCCCCGGAGCUAUUCGUGUCGUCAUACUCCGCUCUCUCUCUUCUCUCUCCUUCUCCG
RNAcentral lists this unclassified non-coding RNA (794 nucleotides) under Hevea brasiliensis (rubber tree). Lineage: Eukaryota; Viridiplantae; Streptophyta; Magnoliopsida; Malpighiales; Euphorbiaceae. The record is from RNAcentral.